RNAcentral lists this ribosomal RNA (468 nucleotides) under uncultured bacterium. RNAcentral describes it as "partial 16S ribosomal RNA". It matches the Rfam family "Bacterial small subunit ribosomal RNA", at positions 28 to 507 of the family's 1533-position model. The record is from RNAcentral.
GACGAACGCUGGCGGCGUGCUUAACACAUGCAAGUCGAACGGAAAGGCCCUGCUUUUGUGGGGUGCUCGAGUGGCGAACGGGUGAGUAGCACGUGAGUAACCUUCCCUUGACUUUGGGAUAACUUCAGGAAACUGGGGCUAAUACCGGAUAGGAGCUCCUGCUGCAUGGUGGGGGUUGGAAAGUUUCGGCGGUUGGGGAUGGACUCGCGGCUUAUCAGCUUGUUGGUGGGGUAGUGGCUUACCAAGGCUUUGACGGGUAGCCGGCAUGAGAGGGUGACCGGCCACAUUGGGACUGAGAUACGGACCAGACUCCUACGGGAGGCAGCAGUGGGGAAUAUUGCACAAUGGGCGGAAGCCUGAUGCAGCAACGCCGCGUGCGGGAUGACGGCCUUCGGGUUGUAAACCGCUUUCGCCUGUGACGAAGCGUGAGUGACGGUAAUGGGUAAAGAAGCACCGGCUAACUACGUG